RNAcentral lists this ribosomal RNA (480 nucleotides) under uncultured bacterium. RNAcentral's name for it is "partial 16S ribosomal RNA". It matches the Rfam family "Bacterial small subunit ribosomal RNA", at positions 28 to 523 of the family's 1533-position model. The record is from RNAcentral.
GACGAGCGCUGGCGGCGUGCCUAACACAUGCAAGUCGAGCGAGUGAAUCUCCUUCGGGAGUGAAGCUAGCGGCGGACGGGUGAGUAACACGUGGGCAACCUGCCUCAUAGAGGGGAAUAGCCUUUCGAAAGGAAGAUUAAUACCGCAUGAGAUUGUAGCUUCGCAUGAAGUAGCAAUUAAAGGAGCAAUCCGCUAUGAGAUGGGCCCGCGGCGCAUUAGCUAGUUGGUGAGGUAACGGCUCACCAAGGCGACGAUGCGUAGCCGACCUGAGAGGGUGAUCGGCCACAUUGGGACUGAGACACGGCCCAGACUCCUACGGGAGGCAGCAGUGGGGAAUAUUGCACAAUGGGGGAAACCCUGAUGCAGCAACGCCGCGUGAGUGAUGACGGCCUUCGGGUUGUAAAGCUCUGUCUUCAGGGACGAUAAUGACGGUACCCGAAGAAUAAGUCCCGGCUAACUUCGUGCCAGCCGCCGCAGUAA